GCUGGUUUCAGAUGGUGGCAUAGAGUAUCGUCACCUGUCUAGCACCAUUUGAAAUCAGUGUU
RNAcentral lists this microRNA precursor (62 nucleotides) under Monopterus albus (swamp eel). RNAcentral's name for it is "Mal-Mir-29-P1d2-v1_pre stem-loop". It matches the Rfam family "mir-29 microRNA precursor family", at positions 5 to 66 of the family's 70-position model. Rfam says of the family: This family represents the microRNA (miRNA) precursors mir-29. Animal miRNAs are transcribed as ~70nt precursors and subsequently processed by the Dicer enzyme to give a ~22nt product. Lineage: Eukaryota; Metazoa; Chordata; Actinopteri; Synbranchiformes; Synbranchidae. The record is from RNAcentral.